UCGAGAAUAUUCGACAAUGGGCGAAAGCCUGAUCGAGCGACGCCGCGUGCAGGAUGAAGGCCCUCGGGUUGUAAACUGCGGUAGUAGGGGAGGAACGCAAGUGACUGUACCCUACGGAAAGUGGUUGGUAACUACGUGCCAGCACCAGCGGUAAUACGUAGACCACAAGCGUUAUCCGGAUUUAUUGGGCGUAAAGAGCAUGUAGGAGGUCCGGUGCGUCUCUGGUUAAAGCCCACCGCCUAACGGUGGAAGUGCCAGAGAUACGAUCGGACUGGAGGAUGUGAGAGGUGCAUGGAACUCACGGUGUAGGGGUGAAAUCCGUUGAUAUCGUGGGGAACACCAAAGGCGAAGGCAGUGCACUGGUACAUUCCUGACUCUGAGAUGCGAAAGCGUGGGGAGCAAACAGGAUUAGAUACCCCAGUAGUCCCUGAGCGGGCUGGCAAGGCGCAU
RNAcentral lists this ribosomal RNA (450 nucleotides) under uncultured bacterium. RNAcentral's name for it is "bacterial SSU rRNA". It matches the Rfam family "Bacterial small subunit ribosomal RNA", at positions 355 to 825 of the family's 1533-position model. The record is from RNAcentral.